Non-coding RNA from Myotis myotis, 387 nucleotides. Lineage: Eukaryota; Metazoa; Chordata; Mammalia; Chiroptera; Vespertilionidae. The record is from the annotation of a RefSeq genome assembly.
CAUCCUGUGUGUGUCCCCACCAUGGUCUGGACCGUGCUUCUGUUCCAGCUCCUGGCUUAUAUAUCAGGGGUGGAUUCUCAGACCGUGGUGACCCAGGAGGCAUCCAAGUCCGUAUCUCUAGGAGGAACAGUCACACUCACCUGUGGCCUUAGCUCUGGGUCAGUCUCUACAAGUCACCACCCGACCUGGUUACAGCAGACCCUAGGCCAGGCUCCACGCAGGCUAAUCCACAGCACAAGCAGCCGCCCCUCUGGGAUCCCUGACCGCUUCUCUGGCUCCAUCUCUGGGAACAAAGCCGUGCUUACCAUCUCGGGGGCCCAGCCCGAGGACGAAGUGCACUAUCACUGUGCUCUGCACAUGGGUAGCUAUAUUGUCACAGUGAUGUAA